Molecule: long non-coding RNA, 2158 nt
Organism: Esox lucius (northern pike)
Lineage: Eukaryota; Metazoa; Chordata; Actinopteri; Esociformes; Esocidae
Source: Ensembl
GUGUACAUGAAAACAUGUUUUCAAAAAAAAAAAAAAAAAAAACUAUAAAACAGGAGGUAAAAAAAAGAAAACAUUGUUUUAAGUCCAAACCUGUUAGACCAAAUAAAAAACAAAACUGACUAUAAAAACUAUAAAACGUCAACUCUCGAUGCCUGAACUUCAACCUUGCCAACACACACAUGUGAACAAAAGUUAUUUUUGUCUGUGACAGAGGUCAAUUAGCUGGCCAUUUUUCUUUUUAUCUUCAAUCAAAGUUUGAAGUGGCUCUUUUUGCAAAUUUCCCUGCAUUUCUCUGCAAAUUGUGACAGUUUUGCCCUCUAUGAAAAUUUUCACGCAAGGUCUUGUAGGCUUCAGUGUCACACGCCUCCAGCUCCGCUAUUGCUGCAGUGUCAACAAUGGUUUUUCGGUCAAUCCCACACUUGCGGUAAGCCAGGGUUUUGGUGACUCCCUUAUCGAUGUACUGCAGGACCUUUUUAUACCUCUGGAUAACAUGCUCUGGUAGAAACACUGGGAGAGAACAAAGGUGCAUAAUUGAUAAGUGACUCAAAAAAAAUAUUUCACACAGAGAGACAGAGAGACAGACAGGUAAUACUGAAACAGCAGAUUUUAAGAAUAUGCAACUUUUUUUUUUACAGUCUAUUAUUACCUACCGGUAUAUGAACUUCAUCCAGUUUUGUAAGGUCACCUUGCUAUUGAGCUAGCUAAACCAGUAAUCAACAUGCGGUUUUGUUAACGUGAUUUAAUUGUGCCCACUUCAAAAUACCGCGAAUAUAGUAGCUACAUCAAUAACAGAAUUGUUUAGUGUUUUAGAACGCACUGUGUAACUUAUUUUACAUGUUAUUUGGUGUGGCCUAAGUAUGGGCUGAAUCAGAGCUCUGUCUGGGCUGGAUUUAAUUCUAAUUCACUCCCUGACCGAAGAUGGAGCUAUGCCACCAGCGCUGGGCAAAUUUCUGGUUGAUUAAUGUUACCAGUUUAACCUUUUCACGCGUGAGUUUCAAAUAUGCCUUAACGGCCCCCCAGAGUGAGUUUUUUUGCGCGUGAGUUCAGCACUCACUCAGAGUUCCAGAAUUUGAUUGUGACGUCACAAUACAUUUAAUCUGCAGCUUCCCAAAAACACCAUGCUGCUUACUAGUUAUGCAUCUAUUUUUUUAUUUAAAUUAUAUUAACAAACUUCUACCGGUAGUAACUGCUAAAAAUGUAUAUUGAAUAAUUAUGAACCAAUCUUAAAAAUGCUGUCCUAUUUCUAAAGAUCGCGGCGAGAAAGAUACUGAAACGCUUCACUUGUUGUAUCAAUAAAACAUACGCAAUCUAUCAGGCAAUAGGUGGUGUGUAAAUUGUUUUACGUAAUUAUUCAGAAGCUCUCAAAAAAUUCUAAAUUCCGAUUCUUGCAUUUAGUAAUGGACAAAUGCGAUCAGUGAAAAGGUAGAUUUUUUUAAGAUUACGUAGAACUUUUUUCUCAACAAAAUUUUGCCUUAUUCACCCACGUCACUUCCUUUAAACCAAAACGAGGCUGUGGGGUACGGAAGUAACGUUGGCCUGCCCAUCUGUCAUAACGUUACCUACAAUGCCGCCGCAUUGUUGUGUUCCCAAAUGUACAUCUUCAAAGAGAAAGAAAUCCUAUACAAGUCAAACAUUCCAUCGUUUCCCAAAAGAUCCUGUAUUUUGCCGUGAAUGGAUUCAUAAUAUAAGAAGAGAUCCCGGUCGCCAUUUCAAGUGUUUCUACCAGAGCAUGUUAUCCAGAGGUAUAAAAAGGUCCUGCAGUACAUCGAUAAGGGAGUCACCAAAACCCUGGCUUACCGCAAGUGUGGGAUUGACCGAAAAACCAUUGUUGACACUGCAGCAAUAGCGGAGCUGGAGGCGUGUGACACUGAAGCCUACAAGACCUUGCGUGAAAAUUUUCAUAGAGGGCAAAAACUGUCACAAUUUGCAGAGAAAUGCAGGGAAAUUUGCAAAAAGAGCCACUUCAAACUUUGAUUGAAGAUAAAAAGAAAAAUGGCCAGCUAAUUGACCUCUGUCACAGACAAAAAUAACUUUUGUUCACAUGUGUGUGUUGGCAAGGUUGAAGUUCAGGCAUCGAGACGUUUUAUAGUUUUUAUAGUCAGUUUUUUUUUUUAUUUGGUCUAACAGGUUUGGACUUAAAACAAUGUUUUCUUUUUUU